UACGUAGGGGGCAAGCGUUGUCCGGAAUUAUUGGGCGUAAAGCGCGUGUAGGCGGCUUGGUAAGUCCGUUCUGAAAGCCCAGGGCUCAACCCUGGGAGGCGGAUGGAUACUGUCAAGCUAGAGUCCGGAAGAGGCGAGUGGAAUUCCCGGUGUAGCGGUGAAAUGCGCAGAUAUCGGGAGGAACACCAAUGGCGAAGGCAGCUCGCUGGGACGUGACUGACGCUGAGACGCGAAAGCGUGGGGAGCAAACAGG
This 253-nucleotide ribosomal RNA is filed under the name uncultured bacterium. Its description in RNAcentral is "partial 16S ribosomal RNA". It matches the Rfam family "Bacterial small subunit ribosomal RNA", at positions 524 to 776 of the family's 1533-position model. The record is from RNAcentral.